RNAcentral lists this ribosomal RNA (749 nucleotides) under uncultured Mogibacterium sp. RNAcentral's name for it is "bacterial SSU rRNA". It matches the Rfam family "Bacterial small subunit ribosomal RNA", at positions 28 to 776 of the family's 1533-position model. Lineage: Bacteria; Bacillati; Bacillota; Clostridia; Peptostreptococcales; Anaerovoracaceae. The record is from RNAcentral.
GAUGAACGCUGGCGGCGUGCCUAAUACAUGCAAGUCGAGCGAGAAGCUUGGAAAUGACGCUUCGGUUGAUUUUCCAAGCGGACAGCGGCGGACGGGUGAGUAACGCGUAGGCAACCUGCCCCUGACAGAGGGAUAGCCAUUGGAAACGAUGAUUAAAACCUCAUGACACCGUAGUAGCACAUGCUACAUCGGUCAAAGAUUUAUCGGUCAGGGAUGGGCCUGCGUCUGAUUAACUGGUUGGUGAGGUAACGGCUCACCAAGGUGACGAUCAGUAGCCGACCUGAGAGGGUGAUCGGCCACAUUGGAACUGAGACACGGUCCAAACUUCUACGGAAGGCAGCAGUAGGGAAUCUUGCACAAUGGGCGAAAGCCUGAUGCAGCAACGCCGCGUGAAGGAUGAAGGCCUUCGGGUUGUAAACUUCUGUUCUAAGGGAAGAAAGAAAUGACGGUACCUUAGGAGCAAGCCCCGGCUAACUACGUGCCAGCAGCCGCGGUAAUACGUAGGGGGCAAGCGUUAUCCGGAAUUAUUGGGCGUAAAGAGUGCGUAGGUGGUUACCUAAGCGCAGGGUUUAAAUUAGAGGCUCAACCUCUACAUGCCUUGCGAACUGGGCUACUUGAGUGCAGGAGGGGAAAGCGGAAUUCCUAGUGUAGCGGUGAAGUGCGUAGAUAUUAGGAGGAACACCGGCGGCGAAGGCGGCUUUCUGGACUGUAACUGACACUGAGGCACGAAAGCGUGGGUAGCAAACAGG